UCCCGUGUGGCUCAGUUGGUAGAGCAUGGUGUUUGCAACACCAGGGUUGUGGGUUCGAUUCCCACAGGGGAC
Molecule: non-coding RNA, 72 nt
Organism: Salmo salar (Atlantic salmon)
Lineage: Eukaryota; Metazoa; Chordata; Actinopteri; Salmoniformes; Salmonidae
Source: Rfam